GACGAACGCUGGCGGCGCGCUUAACACAUGCAAGUCGAGCGAUGAAACGCCAACAGAACCCUUCGGGGCGAAGAAAAAGCGGAUUAGCGGCGGACGGGUGAGUAACAUGUGAGCAACCUGCCGUAAACAUCGGGAUAGUGUCGGGAAAACGGGAUAAAUAGCAACUAAAACCAGAAUGACACAUGUCAUAACGAGCAACACUCCGGUGAGCUAAGAUGGACUCGCGUCCCAUUCGCGAGUUGGUGGAGUAAAAGCCUGCCAAGGCGACGAUGGGUAGCCGGCCUGGGAGGGUGCACGGCCACGUUGGAACUGAGAAGCGGUCCAAACUCCUACGGGAGGCUGCAGUCGGGACUAUUGCACAAUGGCGGGGUCUCUGAUGGAGCGCCUCCGCGUGAACGACGCAUUCUUUAGAGUCGUAAAGUUCUUUUAUAUGGGAGUAUAAUGACGGUACCAUAAGAAAAAGCCCCGGCUAACUACGUG
Molecule: ribosomal RNA, 480 nt
Filed under: uncultured bacterium
Lineage: Bacteria
Description: partial 16S ribosomal RNA
Rfam family: Bacterial small subunit ribosomal RNA
Source: RNAcentral